NNNNNNNNNNNNNNNNNNNNNNNNNNNNNNNNNNNNNNNNNNNNNNNCUUGCGCACGGACACGCGUGCGGAUGCACAUGCGCACACACAUGCACACACACACAUGCCUGCACACGGAUGCACGCACAUGCACACACGCACACACAUGCACCCAGCCACACGUGCUGUGCGUACUGCUGUGCACACAUGUGCACACACGUGCAGACAGCCGCACACGCAUGCACACAGCUGCACAUGCAUGCACACAGAUGCUUAUGCAUGCACACAGCUGCACCCACAUGCACAGCCGCAUGCAUAUGUGCACGCACAUGCGUGCAAAGAGCCACUCACGCAUGCACACACGCAUGCACACACACAUGCACUUGGCUGCUUGAACAUGCACACAGCUACACACCCAUGCACACAGCUGCAUGCACAUGCACAGAGACACACACACACACGCAGAGCUACGCACACAUGCAUGCACACAGCUGCUCAUGCAUGCACACGGCUGCACACGCAUGCACAGAGCCACACACACACACAGAGAGCUACGCACACACGCACACUUGCAUGCACACAGCCGCUCAUGCAUGCACACAGCUGCACACGCAUGCACACAGCUGCACACAUGUGCGCGCGCACACACACAGCGACAGAAACGCAGGUAAAGAGCCACUUGCAUGCACACAGCCGCUCAUGCACGCAACAGCACACACGUGUACGCAGCCGCACGCACGCAGCCAAAGAGCCACACAGACGUGCACACAGCCGCUCAUGUGUGCACACGGCUGCACGCACAUCUGCGUGCACACGCACAGAGCCACGCACACGCGUGCACACAGCCACACACGCAUGCACACGGCUACUCACACAUGCACACGGCUGCUCAUGUGUGCACACGGCUGCACGCACAUCUGCAUGCACACGCACAGAGCCACGCACACGCGUGCACACAGCUGCUCGUGCAUGCACGCAGCUGCACACGCAUGUGCACGCACACACACAGCGACAGAAACACGCAUGCAAAGAGCCACUCGCGCGUGCACACAGCUGCUCGCACACGCACGCACACGCGUGUGCCCCCGCUCCGCUCCCGCCCCUCCCGCCGCCGCCGCCGCCCCGCUCACAAGGCGCCCGAGCCGCACAGAGAGCAGCAGCGCCGCGUCCCCGCGC
This 1154-nucleotide long non-coding RNA is filed under the name Apteryx owenii (little spotted kiwi). Its description in RNAcentral is "lncRNA (ENSAOWG00000007814.1)". The record is from RNAcentral. Lineage: Eukaryota; Metazoa; Chordata; Aves; Apterygiformes; Apterygidae.